GACGAACGCUGGCGGCGUGCCUAAUACAUGCCAGUUGAGCGAUGAAGAUUGGUGCUUGCACCAAUUUGAAGAGCAGCGAACGGGUGAGUAACGCGUGGGGAAUCUGCCUUUGAGCGGGGGACAACAUUUGGAAACGAAUGCUAAUACCGCAUAACAACUUUAAACAUAAGUUUUAAGUUUGAAAGAUGCAAUUGCAUCACUCAAAGAUGAUCCCGCGUUGUAUUAGCUAGUUGGUGAGGUAAAGGCUCACCAAGGCGAUGAUACAUAGCCGACCUGAGAGGGUGAUCGGCCACAUUGGGACUGAGACACGGCCCAAACUCCUACGGGAGGCAGCAGUAGGGAAUCUUCGGCAAUGGACGAAAGUCUGACCGAGCAACGCCGCGUGAGUGAAGAAGGGUUUCGGAUCGUAAAACUCUGUUGGUAGAGAAGAACGUUGGUGAGAGUGGAAAGCUCAUCAAGUGACGGUAACUACACAGAAAGGGACGGCUAACUACGUG
RNAcentral lists this ribosomal RNA (497 nucleotides) under uncultured bacterium. RNAcentral's name for it is "partial 16S ribosomal RNA". It matches the Rfam family "Bacterial small subunit ribosomal RNA", at positions 28 to 507 of the family's 1533-position model. The record is from RNAcentral.